CAUCCCGAAACUAAGCGAGCUACUCUAAAACAGCCCCAGAGCUAACUCAUCCUUGUUACAAAAAGGUGAGAAGAUUUUAAAGUAGAGGUGACACACCUAUCGAGCUUAGAGAUAGCUGGUUAUUCAAAAAAUGGAUUUAAGUCCAACUUUAAGUUUCAUUAGUUUAAAUAAACAAUCAACAAACUUAAAAGCCAUUCAAAUAAGGUACAGCCUAUUUGAACAAGAAAACAAUCUACAACAUAGGGUAAUGACUACUACAUGGCCAAGUAGGCCUAAAAGCAGCCAUCUUCCAAAAAGCGUCCAAGCUCCUCCUCAUUUUAAUUUUUGAUCCCCCUAUUAAUUCACAACCCUCAACUAAUACUGAAUGACCCCAUACUCAUAUGGGAGACAUUAUGCUAGAACUAGUAACAAGAAGACGAACUUCUCCAAAAUGUGAGCAUAAGCCAAAAUAAACAUUUUACUGGCACUUACCGCUAAAACCAUAGUAUAUCUCCACAAGAAAACUCUACUAACGCUAGCGCUAGCCUUACACCAGA
This 536-nucleotide ribosomal RNA is filed under the name Stumpffia sp. 29 MV-2012. Its description in RNAcentral is "partial 16S ribosomal RNA". The stretch from base 1 to 399 matches the Rfam family "Bacterial large subunit ribosomal RNA", at positions 711 to 1300 of the family's 2925-position model. Lineage: Eukaryota; Metazoa; Chordata; Amphibia; Anura; Microhylidae. The record is from RNAcentral.